AACAUUGAAGAUGUCGAUUUUGUUCAAAGCAGUGAGCUGUUUAUCUAUUACAAUGCAAAGCAGCAGCUCGGUCAAGAAUGUCUCCAAAUUAACACUCGUACAGUAGCACGCGCGAAAACACAGUGGGAGAGUCAGAGCAAGUCACAGUAUAUCAGACGAAGGAGAUGGCAAAAGGGUCACAAAGAGUAGUCCACAUAAUAGGGUUCUAAUAAAGAGGGGAUGUCACAACUUUGUCUUAGUAUUGAGCUUUUCAGAAAAAUUUCUUUUAAAUCUUUAUAUUGUUAGGUAUUCUGAC
Molecule: long non-coding RNA, 295 nt
Filed under: Arachis ipaensis
Lineage: Eukaryota; Viridiplantae; Streptophyta; Magnoliopsida; Fabales; Fabaceae
Description: long non-coding RNA (AIPA_LNC002525)
Source: RNAcentral